UAAAUCUGUUUUUUACAACAACGACCGCAACAAAAAUCAAACUCCAUAUAACUUGGUCAUAAUGACUCUGAUAGAAUGUAAUCAUGAACUAACUUUAUAUCAUAACACUAACAUCUUCAACACUAAGAAACAUGUGAUUCAAAUAAGUGAAAUAGCUUUCAUAUUCCAAUAAAUAGUGAAAUAAGUAUUAAUAAUAUUUAUAAUAAACAUUUAUAUUUUAGAAAUGCAUUUACAAAUAAAGUCAUCUAUUUUUUCUAAUAGUUGCAAUAAUUAAACCUAAAUUUAGAAGACAUUCAAUAAGAUAGAUUUUUGAAAUGGUUAUGCAUUUCCAAUUAUUUAAUUUGUGAGUAUCGUUGUAACCUUUUCUGUAUGAAUAUUAUUUCUCUAUAUACAUCCACAAUUAACCAUUUCAUUUUUCGUAAGGAUAAUUAUAUUUUUAAGUGAAAUUAAAAAUUUCAAGAGUAUUAUUAAAAAAAAAAUGUAAAUUGAUAGUAAGUAGUUUUUUUUUGUAAGGGGUAAAUUAAAGUGCACAUCAUGGUAUCUUUCAACCAUGUAUUUUUCUCUGAAGAACUUGAUCAUUUAUCAAUCCAACAUACUCUUAUUUCUUCCUUCAUAAUUAUUUAGUUAACAUACUUUUUAUGUUUUACUUCGAAGUUUUAAAAUAAACUCCAAAAGUAUAAAAAUAUUGUCCAGCGUAAAAUUAACAAAGUCAAUAUACAUGGUUUUAAAGGGAGUUUACAAAUUUUCGACACCCGUGCAUUGCACGGGUCUCAACCUAGUUGCUUAUUUUAUUUAACGACAUAUAGAAACACGCAGGCACAUACUUUUCUUAUUAUAUAAUUCCUCUGUAAUUGUUUAUAAUGGAAGGUAAAUAUCUCACACUUAUUAAGAAAGUUCAAAUUUUUCUGUCUCUUUUUUAUUAUGUUUUGUUGGAAAAAUAUUUUAAAAAAUUAUUUAUACUCUAAUUUUGAAGCAAUCACAAUACUGAAUGGGACAUUAAGAACCAAUUAUUUAUGCCUUUCUCUUUCUUCUUUUGUCAUGUUCUUUUUCUUCUUCUACUCUUUCUCUUUCCUUUUCUUUAUUUCUUAUUCUUUCUUCCUUCUUCUAUGUUAUUCUUUUUUUUAUAUAUAUAUAAAUAUAUAGUGUAUUGCCCUCUUAUUUAUUUCUCUUUCUUAUUUUUCUCUUUUCUUUUUUCUUCUUUCUCACUCUCCAGUUAUUUUUUCUUCUUAUCUUUCUCUUUGAUAUUCUUUCUUUCUAAUUCAUUCUUUCCUCUUUCUCUUUUCUAUGGUUUUCUAAAUAUGUAAUUUACUUCUCUCAUAACCACUUGGCAAAGCAUUUGGAUAGUCUCAUUCCUAGUGGUUAUCUGCAUUCGGUACAAACUCUUUUUUUGUUUUGUUGCUAAACACAAGAAUAUUGAAUUUUUAUUCAAUGUAGGAUCACGUCUUUAUUUGUACACUAAUUUAUCUUUUAAAAAACAAUAUAAACAUAUAACAUAAAUUAUUUGAGUAAAUGAUAAACUAGAAGGUUGGUUGUAUAGAACUCCACUCAGUUCCACAUGACGUACCAGUUGAUAGUGUAGUAUAGGAGGAGUAGUUUGAUGGGUUUUAUAGUAUUGCUUCUAAAUUAUAUGGAGGAAACGUAUAAACAAGUUAAACCAAAAUUAAAAGUACCGUAAAUAAUGCUAAUAUUAGAUCCUUAACGGCAAUUCCAUUAUAUGAAUUUUGCAUAUUUCCUAGAAUUAAAAUCGUCUCUUUCAAAAUACAAUAAUCUACUUUUUAAUAUAGAAAAUUUGUAGUAAAGAUUUGGAUACAUAAUUUGUGUAUUAAUAACUUAAAUCUGUUUUUUACAACAACGGCCGCAACAAAAAUCAAACUCCAGAUAACUUGGUCAUAAUGACUCUGAUAGAAUGUAAUCAUGAACUAACUUUAUAUCAUAACACUAACAUCUUCAACACUAAGAAACAUGUCAUUCAAAUAAGUGAAAUAGCUUUCAUAUUCCAAUAAAUAGUGAAAUAAGUAUUAAUAAUAUUUAUAAUAAACAUUUAUAUUUUAGAAAUGCAUUUACCAAUAAAGUCAUCUAUUUUUUCUAAUAGUUGCAAUAAUUAAACCUAAAUCUAGAAGACAUUCAAUAAGAUGGAUUUUUGAAAUGGUUAUGCAUUUCCAAUUAUUUAAGUUGUGAGUACCGUUGUAACCUUUUCUGUACGAAUACUAUUUCUCUAUAUACAUCCAUAAUUAACCAUUUCAUUUUUCGUAAGGCUAAUUAUAUUUUAAAGUGAAAUUAAAAAUUUCAAGAGUAUUAUUAAAAAAAAAUGUAAAUUCAUAGUAAGUAGUUUUUUUUUUGUAAUGGAUAAAUUAAAGUGCACAUCGUGGUAUCUCUCAUCCAUGUAUUUUUCUCUGAAGAACUUGAUCAUUUAUCAAUCCAACAUACUCUUAUUUCUUCCUUCAUAAUUAUUUAGUUAACAUUCUUUUUAUGUUUUACUUCGAAGUUUUAAAAUAAACUCCAAAAGUAUAAAAAUAUUGUUCAGCGCAAAAUUACCAAAGUCAAUAUACAUGGUUUUAAAGGGAGUUUACAAAUUUUCGACACCCGUUAAUUGCAAGGGUCUCAAUCUAGUUGCUUAUUUUAUUUAACGACAUAUAGAAGCACGCAGGCACAUACUUUUCUUAUUAUAUAAUUCCUCUGUAAUUGUUUAUAAUGGAAGGUAAAUAUCUCACACUUAUUAAGAAAGUUCAAAUUUUUGUGUCUCUUUUUUAAUAUGUUUUGUUGGAAAAAUAUUUUAAAAAAUUGUUUAUACUCUAAUUUUGAAGCAAUCACAACACUGUGUGGGACUUUAAGCUCUUUCUUCUUUUGUCAUGUUCUUUUUCUUCUUCUACUCUUUCUCUUUCCUUUUCUUUAUUUCUUAUUCUUUCUUCCUUCUUCUAUCUUAUUCUCUUUUAUUUUUUAUAUAUAAAUAUAUAGUUUAUUCCCCUCUUAUUUACUUCUCUUUCUUUUUUUUCUCUUUUCUUUUUUCUUCUUUCUCACUCUCCAGUUAUUUUUUCUUCUUAUCUUUCUCUUUGAUAUUCUUUCUUUCUAAUUCAUUCUUUCCUCUUUCUCUUUUCUAUGGUUUUCUAAAUAUGUAAUUUACUUCUCUCAUAACCACUUGGCAAAGCAUUUGGAUAGUCUCAUUCCUAGUGGUUAUCUGCAUUCGGUACAAACUCUUUUUUUUUUUUGUUGCUAAACACAAGAAUAUUGAAUUUUUAUUCAAUGUAGGAUCACGUCUUUAUUUGUACACUAAUUUAUCUUUUAAAAAA
RNAcentral lists this long non-coding RNA (3287 nucleotides) under Lathyrus oleraceus (garden pea). RNAcentral's name for it is "Pisum sativum (pea) long non-coding RNA (PSAT_LNC020594)". Lineage: Eukaryota; Viridiplantae; Streptophyta; Magnoliopsida; Fabales; Fabaceae. The record is from RNAcentral.